CCCUUAUUUUACUAAGUUACUAGUGUAGUGAUUAGUUUUUACCGUUAGUGACCGUUCGUUAUAUUUUACCGUUGUUAGUAAUUACCGUUGAGUGUAUAGAAACUUUUUGGAAUUAUGUUAGAAUGAGUUAAGCCCAUUAGAAUUUGGAAUUGAGCCCAUUAAGGGAGAUAACAUUAGGGUUGUCAUAGGAAAAUAUCUUUCAUUCACUUCACAAAACAUUUUCCUAGAGAGAGAGGGAGGUAGAGAGAGAAAGAGGUGAAGAGAAGAACAAGAGUGUUGAAGGGAAAACUUGGGGAAUCAAUUUGGGUGACCUAGGAGCUGAAUUGAAGCAAGGGUUAGAGAUAAUCAACUUCAAAGGUAAUGGGACGUUGUGCAGGAGUAGUCUCGGUGAGUCUUUGCUUGGGAUAUCGGGAGCUUCCUCCGAUAUCGGUGUCGUGUCGGCUCUGAUCUAGGCUUGUCGUGUCGGUCUAGAUUAGGUUGUUUAUAUUUUCCUUUGGAUUAUUAUUUUGUUGAUGACUACCCGUAUGUUUGGGUUUUGAGAUUUAUCUUUGGGAUAUGAUUUAUUUGCUCAUGGCAUGUAUAUAUUUGAUCACUCUGAUUUGUAUUC
This 607-nucleotide long non-coding RNA is filed under the name Medicago truncatula (barrel medic). RNAcentral's name for it is "lncRNA gene10052". The record is from RNAcentral. Lineage: Eukaryota; Viridiplantae; Streptophyta; Magnoliopsida; Fabales; Fabaceae.